UACGAGGGGGGCAAGCGUUGUUCGGAUUUAUUGGGCGUAAAGGGUGCGUAGGCGGUUUGGCAAGUCUUAUGUGAAAUCUUCGGGCUCAACCCGAAGCCUGCAUAAGAAACUGCCGGGCUUGAGUAUGGGAGAGGUGAGUGGAAUUCCUGGUGUAGCGGUGAAAUGCGUAGAUAUCAGGAGGAACACCGGUGGUGUAGACGGCUUUCUGGACCGUAACUGACGCUGAGACACGAAAGCGUGGGUAGCAAACAG
RNAcentral lists this ribosomal RNA (252 nucleotides) under uncultured bacterium. RNAcentral describes it as "partial 16S ribosomal RNA". It matches the Rfam family "Bacterial small subunit ribosomal RNA", at positions 524 to 775 of the family's 1533-position model. The record is from RNAcentral.